UACGUAGGGUGCGAGCGUUAAUCGGAAUUACUGGGCGUAAAGCGUGCGCAGGCGGUUCGUUAAGUCAGAUGUGAAAGCCCCGGGCUCAACCUGGGAACUGCAUUUGAAACUGGCGGGCUUGAGUGUGGCAGAGGGGGGUGGAAUUCCGCGUGUAGCAGUGAAAUGCGUAGAGAUGCGGAGGAACACCGAUGGCGAAGGCAGCCCCCUGGGCCAGCACUGACGCUCAGGCACGAAAGCGUGGGGAGCAAACAGG
Molecule: ribosomal RNA, 253 nt
Filed under: uncultured bacterium
Lineage: Bacteria
Description: partial 16S ribosomal RNA
Rfam family: Bacterial small subunit ribosomal RNA
Source: RNAcentral